GAGAAUGCCGGUGUGAGUAGCGAAAGACGGGUGAGAAUCCCGUCCACCGAUUGACUAAGGUUUCCAGAGGAAGGCUCGUCCGCUCUGGGUUAGUCGGGUCCUAAGCUGAGGCCGACAGGCGUAGGCGAUGGAUAACAGGUUGAUAUUCCUGUACCACCUAUAAUCGUUUUAAUCGAUGGGGGGACGCAGUAGGAUAGGCGAAGCGUGCGAUUGGAUUGCACGUCUAAGCAGUAAGGCUGAGUAUUAGGCAAAUCCGGUACUCGUU
Molecule: ribosomal RNA, 265 nt
Filed under: Staphylococcus aureus
Lineage: Bacteria; Bacillati; Bacillota; Bacilli; Caryophanales; Staphylococcaceae
Description: partial 23S ribosomal RNA
Rfam family: Bacterial large subunit ribosomal RNA
Source: RNAcentral